UUGGCGGAGAGUUUGAUCCUGGCUCAGGAUGAACGCUGGCGGCGUGCUUAAUACAUGCAAGUCGAACGGAGACUGUAGCAAUACUGUCUUAGUGGCGAACGGGUGAGUAACGCGUUGGUGACCUGCCCCGAAGAGGGGGAUAACAGUCCGAAAGGAUUGCUAAUACCCCAUGUGGUCGUUUGGAUUAGAUGCCUUACGACUAAACGGAUUUAUUCGCUUCGGG
Molecule: ribosomal RNA, 223 nt
Filed under: Chloroflexota bacterium
Lineage: Bacteria; Bacillati; Chloroflexota
Description: Chloroflexi bacterium (anaerobic digester metagenome) partial 16S ribosomal RNA
Rfam family: Bacterial small subunit ribosomal RNA
Source: RNAcentral